RNAcentral lists this ribosomal RNA (1240 nucleotides) under metagenome. RNAcentral's name for it is "bacterial LSU rRNA". It matches the Rfam family "Bacterial large subunit ribosomal RNA", at positions 1564 to 2815 of the family's 2925-position model. The record is from RNAcentral.
UGAGUACGAGAUGCUACGGCAUCGAAGCAGUCUAUGUCAUACUUCCAAGAAAAGCUUCACUGUCAUAAACAAAGAAUGCCUGUACCAUAACCGACACAGGUGGGUAGGUAGAGUAUACUAAGGGGCGCGAGAUAACUCUCUCUAAGGAACUCGGCAAAAUGACUCCGUAACUUCGGGAGAAGGAGUGCCUUAUUUCUAAGGUUGCAAUAACAAGAUCCAAGCAACUGUUUGCCAAAAACACAGGUCUCCGCUAAGUCGUAAGACGAUGUAUGGGGGCUGACGCCUGCCCAGUGCCAGAAGGUUAAAGAAGUUGGUUAGCAUUAGCGAAGCUGAUAACUGAAGCCCUGGUGAACGGCGGCCGUAACCAUAACGGUCCUAAGGUAGCGAAAUUCCUUGUCGGGUAAGUUCCGACCCGCACGAAAGGCGUAAUGAUUUGGAUACUGUCUCGGAGAGGGGCUCGGUGAAAUAGACUUGUCUGUGAAGAUGCGGACUACCUGCACCUGGACAGAAAGACCCUAUGAAGCUUUACUGUAACUUGAGAUUGAAAUUGGACUUUAUUUGCGCAGUAUAGGUGGGAGGCGUUGAGAAUAAUCUUGCGGGAUUGUUGGAGCCAUCAGUGAGAUACCACUCUUGUAAUGUUAGAUUUCUAACUUUGUAUCAUUAUCUGGUCAAAGAACAGUUUCAGGCGGGCAGUUUGACUGGGGCGGUCGCCUCCCAAAGGGUAACGGAGGCGCACAAAGGUUUCCUCUGAACGGGUAGAAAUCGUAUCUAGAGUGUAAAGGCAUAAGGAAGCUUGACUGUGAGACCUACAAGUCGAGCAGGGACGAAAGUCGGUCUUAGUGAUCUGACGGUGCUGAGUGGAAAGGCCGUCACUCAACGGAUAAAAGUUACUCUAGGAUAACAGGCUGAUCUCCCCCAAGAGUUCACAUCGACGGGGAGGUUUGGCACCUCGAUGUCGGCUCAUCGCAUCCUGGGGCGGUAGUCCGUCCCAAGGGUUGGGCUGUUCGCCCAUGAAAGCGGUACGCGAGCUGGGUUCAGAACGUCGUGAGACAGUUCGGUCCAUAUCCGGUGUAGGCGUUAGAAUAUUGAGAGGAGCCUUCUCUAGUACGAGAGGACCGAGAAGGACAUACCUCUGGUGUACCAGUUAUCGUGCCAACGGUAAACGCUGGGUAGCUAUGUAUGGAGUGGAUAACCGCUGAAAGCAUCUAAGUGGGAAGCCCACCUCAAGAUAAGUAUUCUC